This 892-nucleotide ribosomal RNA is filed under the name uncultured bacterium. RNAcentral describes it as "bacterial SSU rRNA". It matches the Rfam family "Bacterial small subunit ribosomal RNA", at positions 8 to 882 of the family's 1533-position model. The record is from RNAcentral.
AGAGUUUGAUCAUGGCUCAGGACGAACGCUGGCGGCGUGCCUAAUACAUGCAAGUAGAACGCUGAAGACUGGUGCUUGCACUAGUCAGAUGAGUUGCGAACGGGUGAGUAACGCGUAGGUAACCUACCUCAUAGCGGGGGAUAACUAUUGGAAACGAUAGCUAAUACCGCAUGACAAUUAAGUACUCAUGUACUAAAUUUAAAAGGAGCAAUCGCUUCACUAUGAGAUGGACCUGCGUUGUAUUAGCUAGUUGGUGAGGUAACGGCUCACCAAGGCCACGAUACAUAGCCGACCUGAGAGGGUGAUCGGCCACACUGGGACUGAGACACGGCCCAGACUCCUACGGGAGGCAGCAGUAGGGAAUCUUCGGCAAUGGGGGCAACCCUGACCGAGCAACGCCGCGUGAGUGAAGAAGGUUUUCGGAUCGUAAAGCUCUGUUGUUAGAGAAGAACGGUAAUGGGAGUGGAAAAUCCAUUACGUGACGGUAACUAACCAGAAAGGGACGGCUAACUACGUGCCAGCAGCCGCGGUAAUACGUAGGUCUCGAGCGUUGUCCGGAUUUAUUGGGCGUAAAGCGAGCGCAGGCGGUUAUUUAAGUCUGAAGUUAAAGGCCGUGGCUCAACCAUGGUUCGCUUUGGAAACUGGAUAACUUGAGUGCAGAAGGGGAGAGUGGAAUUCCAUGUGUAGCGGUGAAAUGCGUAGAUAUAUGGAGGAACACCGGUGGCGAAAGCGGCUCUCUGGUCUGUAACUGACGCUGAGGCUCGAAAGCGUGGGGAGCAAACAGGAUUAGAUACCCUGGUAGUCCACGCCGUAAACGAUGAGUGCUAGGUGUUAGGCCCUUUCCGGGGCUUAGUGCCGCAGCUAACGCAUUAAGCACUCCGCCUGGGGAGUA